AAAAAUUCGGAAUAUUUUUGAUCGUUAACAUUAUUAUUUUGAAAUCGAUACCGCAGGGGGUAAUUAAGUAUGCCAAGCAUUUAAAUUUAAAUCGCACAGUGUGUCUGGGCUACCUAUGAUUAUAUUUCCUACAUACAAUUAACACAACUUUUACAACACUCUCCCCCCUUUGAUUCGCUACGAAUCAAUCCUACGCAUUUUCCAUUUACAGUCCAGUGCCACCGCUCGCUUAGGAUUAUCGUGUGGGAAUGUCGCUCUUACUUACGAGCGUUUUCUUAACCUCUUCAUUUUUCUCGAGGGUGGCUCUUAUUUCUAGAGGGUUUAGUUUUUGAAUUGGUCUUGAAAUGCGUAAACGUUUACCUUUCGUAAUUACCCUAACUUCUGCACCUCUAAUUAUCUCAUCUUUACCUUUAAUCGUUCGACAACCGCUGUUUUCCACUGUGCUCCUUUCAUAUUCUCUUAAAAAACGCUACUCUUGGCUUUGUGAAACUCUCUAAGAUCUGUUAAGUAUUCCUUUCUCCAUCUAUUCCAAAAGUGCACUAACCUAAGCGUCAAAUGUCUAAAUCUUUUGCUACAAUUAGUCUCAUUCUCAGCUGCUUCCUCUAUGUUCCAUUCUGGCAAGGACUUUAAACGCCUGCUAUGAAUUAAAUGUGAUGGAGUUAAAACGUCCUCGUAUAGUUCCUCGUACGUAUACGUACGUCAAAUCGUCAAUGGUCUGGAAUUUGGAGUGCCUUCAACCUCUAUCACAGCAGUCAGUAAUUCGUUAUAGGUCGGUUUUGCAUUGCCUAGUACCUUUUUUAAACAUGCCUUCACGCAUCCCACAUGGCGUUCGAAAAAUCCUCCCCACCAGGGAGCGCGUUCCAGGUUGAAACGCCAUUCUGUUUUCGUACGUUCGAGUUCGCUCCUAACUUCAGGAUGGUUAAACAACUGUUUUAGAGCCUUCUGUGUUGCACGAAAGUGUCUUAGCAUUGUCUGAAACUAUCAGGGCCGGAGUUCCGCAUCUACUCGAAAAACGCCUAAGUGCUCGUCUAAAUGUUUGUGAUGUCAAAUCUUCAACUAAUUCCAGAUGUACCGCACGUGUCAUGCACGCAACAAGAGAAAAGGGCAAUGUAAGCCUUUUUCGAUUCUUCUAUGUUACUCUUAACAAAUAAUGGUCCGGCAAAAUCAACUCCAACUUUUUCAGGAAAACGGGAGACUUUCACCUACUCGAAACCGGUAAGGCCGCCAUAGGUGGGGCCGUAUAAGACUUUCCUGCAACCUUCUUACAUAUGACACACUUAUGAAUUAUUUUCUUAACAAUCUGCCUCGCUCUUGGUACCCAGUACCUUGAACGCAAUUCGGCUAACGACCCUCUAAGUCCAUUGUGGUGAACUCUAGUAUGACAAUCUUCAAUAACUAAAUUAGUAAACCUGUGUUCUCUAGGCAAAAUUAAAGGUCUACGAGCAAAAUCACUUAAAUCUUAAUUUUCAAGUCUUCCUACGCACCUAAGCAUGCCAUUUUCAUCUUCAACGAGACGCCUGCUCAGGCGUUCACACUGACCUGAAAAUGACGACAUACGUGCUAUGGUGCAAUAGACAAGAAUACAAGUCGUAAACCGCAAGCAAAUUGUAUGGAAAAACUAAAAGACCUUUUUGGGAGACCUAUGGUGCAAAUCUACAACUAGGAGUUACUAUCGCAAGGAAAGUGCUGCCGUUUUGCCACAUCAACUGAAUGCAAAAGUUAAUUUGUAUUUCUAAACAAUUCUCUAAAAGGAAGUUUACUUUUGACCCAAUGGCUUAAUUUUC
RNAcentral lists this long non-coding RNA (1784 nucleotides) under Paramuricea clavata. The record is from RNAcentral. Lineage: Eukaryota; Metazoa; Cnidaria; Anthozoa; Malacalcyonacea; Plexauridae.